This 513-nucleotide small RNA is filed under the name Arabidopsis thaliana (thale cress). Its description in RNAcentral is "ATSL153150". The record is from RNAcentral. Lineage: Eukaryota; Viridiplantae; Streptophyta; Magnoliopsida; Brassicales; Brassicaceae.
UGUUAACAAAACUAGGCUUUAACCAGCGGUUUACCGCGGGCAAUCGGUUUAUUUAGUUCUUAUAUUAAAUAUUUGAUUAAAUUUGAUAUCCUAAACUUAUAAAUAUAAAUUUCUAAUGAUUAGUAAAGAAUCGUAAUAGAUAAUUUGGAUAUUAUUGAUUAUUGAUUUCGUGAUUGAAUAUAGUAUUUUUAGGGAUGGAAUGUGAUCAUAUUUUGAUUUCAAAAAUGACAUAGAUUUUCUAUUUUUGUUGAGCGGUUUAGAUUGAAGGGAAUUAAUUUUAUUGAACGGUUUAGAUUGAAGGAAAUUAAUUUUAUUGAACGGUUUAGAUUGAAUCAGAUCAAAUGAAGUUUAGGAGAUUGUUAAGAACAAAUUACCCUUAAUGAUUUUAAAUAGCAAAGAACAAAAUCCAAAAUUAAAAUCAAAAUUGAGGCUAAAUUAGAUAAAAUUUCAAUUUGUACUUCCCUUUUAAUAAUAAAGGGAUAACUGCUUUCUCAAUUGACAUGUACCUUGUAU